GGAAGAGCUCUCAGAUCCUGAAAGAUUCCUGUGGAUCAAGGUCUGGUGAUGGCAGAAGAGGAAGCAAGGGCAUUACCUUCUGCAUGAUGGUCAGCUUAUGGGACGGGCAUAUUUUGACCUACACUGCAAUGUUAGUGAGGUUGUGAUUCAACCCAGAGCCAUGUGGACGCCCUCCCAGCUGGCAUCCCCAGGCAACACCAUGCUGCCCUUGGUGCCAUUUGCCUCCUGAACUCCAAGGACUAUCUCCUGGCUCACAGCUGGGCAGGCUCCCACUCAGAGCUGCUGCACUUGGCAGGCUCACUGGCAGCAGCACUCACCUGCACCUAAGUGAGGGCACGAGGCCCAGAUGCCUACUAGACCUGGUUGGUCCUGGCAGGAGACAGGAUGGACAGGAAUGUCAAGCCUUUGUCCACAGGCAGCAAGCAGAUUGCAUGGGCACAGCCAUGCCGUGGUGAAGAACUGAAGGCCCAGCAGUGCCUGCUGACAGCUCCAGCUCAACAGGGGGUGGGGGAUUUCCCUGCAGCAGCCCCAAACCAUGGAUCCAGAGCAGUGCUUGUGGUGUGAACUCUUGACUCACGGAAUGAACCUCUGCGGUGCAAUGGUGAGGGCUUGCCAAGAUAUCUCCUGCAACUCAUUACCCAAAGAAGAGAAGUACCACAUAUUUACUUCUCCCCUUCUGAUCUGUGAGAUGCCACUGCAGUGAUUACAACUUUUUUUUCCUGUUUUGUUUUUUUCUCUGAAUGUGUGAAUGCACUCAAUUCAAGGUUAACCUCUUCAUUAAGUCACACAAGUCUGACAAAGAGUUUAAAUCACCACGGAGAGCAAAACAGUCACCUGCCCUAGCCAAAAAACCUGAGGCUGUGCAGAUUCUUCUCCCAGUCCCUGCAGAGCAGCUCCCAAUGGUGCUGGGUUGCUCGCUGUGGAUCUGGUGGCAGUGUUGUGUCCUUGGAGCCCAGCUCAUGCUGCUCCUACUGCCAUUCGUUGUGAGUGCUGUGCAGAGGGCUGUGAACGAGGGCUGCUGUGUGGUGUUCCAUCACAUCCACACAUCUUGGUGUCCCCACGGUGUGAGCGUGGCCGGUGUGACUUUGGGGCUCCUCCUGAGGCAGUGCUGGUCUAAAAACACUGAUGAAAAGCUGAUUAAUCCUUGUAAGCGAGCAGCGAUAGCUUCUCUCCAGAACUGAAGAGAUUACCACUGAUUUGUCAUCCUGAUUGUUUCAAAGAGAGGUGCAAUUAGUUGCUCUAAUUUAGCUCGCUGAGUGGCAUGACAACUGAGAUGUAAUCAGGAGUUCCGCACACAACGCAGCCACCGAUGGGUGCAGCUGUGCCCACCACCAUUUUGCACGCUGAGGGUGGGCUCAAAAUGGUGGAGCACUGUGUGCUUGUGCCCCUCCAGCUGCAUCAGCCAAAGUGUGUGUGCUCGACUCU
This is a long non-coding RNA of Lagopus leucura (white-tailed ptarmigan), 1425 nucleotides long. RefSeq lists it as uncharacterized. Lineage: Eukaryota; Metazoa; Chordata; Aves; Galliformes; Phasianidae. The transcript is spliced from 4 exons. The record is from RefSeq and is a predicted model, not a curated record.